Molecule: long non-coding RNA, 451 nt
Organism: Peromyscus eremicus (cactus mouse)
Lineage: Eukaryota; Metazoa; Chordata; Mammalia; Rodentia; Cricetidae
Exons: 2
Source: RefSeq, a predicted model, not a curated record
AACGUUCCCUGCAGCCAUGCUGACCUUGGAUCGUUCCUUCCUAUCUACAGUCAUGGAAGAAAGCUGCUAAGUGUGUUGAGAUCUGUACCAUGACCACAAUGAACAUGGCAACAUUCAGGAAGAACAUGACUCCAAAGUACCCGGCACAGCUCACAUAAAACACCACGGCAUCCUGAAUCCAGCAGCUUGAAGGGACAGAAACAAGAACAAGAUAAAAGAGUUUGCCUACCCCGCCCUGUUUACUGGUGACUUUCCUUGGCCUGGUUUGCACAGCUUACUGAGUUCUUUCUGAAACACCUAUGAAAAGCCCGCUCAUAUCCGUGGACUCGAGUUUCUGCUUUGAUCUUUUCAUAGGUGGUUUUGCGUUCGGGUGGUUUUGGAUGGCCGCUGUCUUGAUCUCGUUAUUUAAGUCAAUAUUAAAAAGCAAAGGAGGUUGCUUGUUGAAUUCUGA